Molecule: transfer RNA, 69 nt
Filed under: Ictidomys tridecemlineatus (thirteen-lined ground squirrel)
Lineage: Eukaryota; Metazoa; Chordata; Mammalia; Rodentia; Sciuridae
Description: Spermophilus tridecemlineatus (thirteen-lined ground squirrel) tRNA
Rfam family: tRNA
About the family: Transfer RNA (tRNA) molecules are approximately 80 nucleotides in length. Their secondary structure includes four short double-helical elements and three loops (D, anti-codon, and T loops).
Source: Rfam by way of RNAcentral
GGGGCUGGGGCUCAGUGGUAGAGCAGUUGCCUCCCAAGCAUGCGGCCCUGGGUUCGAUCCUCAGCACCA